This 481-nucleotide ribosomal RNA is filed under the name Acinetobacter baumannii 25307_1. RNAcentral describes it as "partial 23S ribosomal RNA". The record is from RNAcentral. Lineage: Bacteria; Pseudomonadati; Pseudomonadota; Gammaproteobacteria; Moraxellales; Moraxellaceae.
GCUGCUUCUUUGGCUUCACGAUGUGUUUUAGCUUCAUUGUUUAAGCGUGCAAUUGUUGCUACCGAGUGUGGUGCAUCAUGUGGCAUUUCUUUGCCGUCAUCAUGAAUAUAGAUCGGCUUAUCACCGUCUACUUCCGCAUAAACUUUACCGUCGAUUGUUACUGUUUUAAGUUUCAUUGGUCAUCCAACCUAUAUAUACAAAAUGGGCAUCCGCCCGGAUUCGCCGUUAGCAUCCGCUUUCGGCAGGCAAUAAAAAAGCGCCCUUUAGGACGCUUCAUUUCUAUAAAUGAUUAUUUACUUAAAGCUUGGCGUACAAAUGCAUCUUUUGCUUCAAGUAGCUUUCUUAAUCCUGUGGAUUUUUCAGGCCCGUCAGGAAGUUGCUCAUCCAUUUGCCGAGCUAAAUCACCAAUUGGCUUACUAACUUGCUGCAAAUGUUCAGGUAAAUGUUCAUAUUGGAAAUAUUGGAUAAUAGGGCUUGGCAU